UUUCGCAAUGCCCGAAAGGGUGACGAAGCGACGCCGCGUGGGUGAGGAAGGCCUUCGGGUUGUGAAGCCCUGUCAGGAGUUAUGAAAUGUAAGUGCGCUAAUAUCGUGCUUAUUUGACAAAGGCUCCAAAGGAAGCCACGGCUAACUCUGUGCCAGCAGCCGCGGUAAUACAGAGGUGGCGAGCGUUGUUCGGAAUUAUUGGGCGUAAAGAGCACGUAGGUGGGUUUGCAAGUCAGAUGUGAAAGCCUUCUGUUCAACGGAAGAAUUGCAUCUGAAACUGCUAAUCUUGAGUAUAGGAGGGGAGAAUGGAACUUCUGGUGGAGCGGUGAAAUGCGUAGAUAUCAGAAGGAACGCCGGCGGCGAAAGCGAUUCUCUGGCCUAUUACUGACACUCAGUGUGCGAAAGCUAGGGGAGCAAACGGGAUUAGAUACCCCGGUAGUCCUAGCCGUAAACGAUGGGCACUAAGUAGAGGGGUUUUA
Molecule: ribosomal RNA, 479 nt
Filed under: uncultured anaerobic ammonium-oxidizing bacterium
Lineage: Bacteria
Description: bacterial SSU rRNA
Rfam family: Bacterial small subunit ribosomal RNA
Source: RNAcentral